AGAGUUUGAGUGGAGCAGAGAUUUAGUUUCCGUCGGUAUGCGCCAAGAACCAUCUCCCUUAGAUUAAAAAAAUAGUAGUGGUUAAUGGCUUCAUGCUCUAGCGGUUCAUCUCCUUUCCUCGGGAACAACAAAACUAAUCGCGAAAAUGGUAACAACCUUGGUGGGGACCGCGGUAUGGAAAAUCACAAGGCUAUGUUGUGCAAUAUUUCUUGAGGUCUUUUAUGGUAGGAGCAGAGCGAUAUAUAGACCAUCCAUUGUACUCGAUGAAGGGAUGAAAUCCAUCAAAACUAGCAAAUCAAACUAGCAUUUUGCUUAGGUAAAAAAAAUCAGAAGACCUCCACAGGAGGAAGGAGGUGGGCGGUUGCUGAUGGAGUUGCAGCGCCAGUGUGAGGUAUUGCUGGCCCUCGUGCUCCGUAGCUCAUCUUGUUGGUUUCUACUCAUCAUGGAGACGCGCAUGUUUGCC
RNAcentral lists this long non-coding RNA (463 nucleotides) under Brachypodium distachyon (stiff brome). RNAcentral describes it as "long non-coding RNA (BDIS_LNC001168)". Lineage: Eukaryota; Viridiplantae; Streptophyta; Magnoliopsida; Poales; Poaceae. The record is from RNAcentral.